This 323-nucleotide non-coding RNA is filed under the name Ricinus communis (castor bean). RNAcentral's name for it is "Bacterial small subunit ribosomal RNA". It matches the Rfam family "Bacterial small subunit ribosomal RNA", at positions 547 to 870 of the family's 1533-position model. Lineage: Eukaryota; Viridiplantae; Streptophyta; Magnoliopsida; Malpighiales; Euphorbiaceae. The record is from Rfam by way of RNAcentral.
GGAAUGAUUGGCCAUAAAGCGUCUGUAGGUGGCUUUUUAAGUCUGCCGUCAAAUCCCAGGGCUCAACCAUGGACAGGCGACGGAAACUACCAAGAUGGAGUACAGUAGGGGCAGAGGGAAUUUCUGGUGGAGCAGUGAAAUGCGUAGAGAUCGGAAAGAACACCAACGGUGAAAGCACUCUGCUGGGCCGAUACUGACACUAAGAGAUGAAAGCUACGGGAGCGAAUGGGAUUAGAUACCCCAAUAGUCCUAGCUGUAAACGAUAGAUACUAGGCGCUGUGCGUAUCGACCCGUGCAGUAAAAAAUGAUCAUAAGGAUCUGUC